AGUGGCGAGCGUUUCCGGAUUUAUUGGGUUUAAGGGAGCGUAGGCGGCUGAUUAAGUCAGCGGUGAAAGGUAGCAGCUUAACUGUUUUACAUGCCGUUGAUACUGGUUAGCUGAGUUGACAGAAGGCAGAUAGAAUUCCUGAUGUAGCGGUGAAAUGCUUAGAUAUCAGGAGGAAUACCGAUUGCGAAGGCAGUCUGCUGCAGUCACACUGACGCUGAGGCUCGAAGGUGCGGGGAUCAAACAGGAUUAGAUACCCUGGUAGUCCGCACAGUAAACGAUGAUUACUAGAUGUUGGCCAAGCCAGUGUCCAAGGGAAACCGAUAAGUAAUCCACCUGGGGAGUACGCCGGCAACGGUGAAACUCAAAGGAAUUGACGGGGGCCCGCACAAGCGGUAAUCGAAUUCCCGC
This 408-nucleotide ribosomal RNA is filed under the name uncultured bacterium. Its description in RNAcentral is "bacterial SSU rRNA". It matches the Rfam family "Bacterial small subunit ribosomal RNA", at positions 530 to 962 of the family's 1533-position model. The record is from RNAcentral.